UUUUUUUUUUUUUUUAUUAUGUUGCAUUUGGCCGUUUCAAUAGAUAUACAAAUGAAGUUGUGAUAUGAUUGACAAUGAGACAACUCUCUACAAGAUACAAAAUGAAACAGAAAUAAACAACUAUAGUCACCGAACGGCCUUCAACAAUGGGCAAAGCCCAUACCGCAUAGUCAUGUAUAAAAGGCCCCGAAAUGACGACUGUAAAACAAUUGAAACGAGAAACGAAAAAGUUUAUGUACAAAAAAUAAACGAAAAACAAAUAUGUAACACCUCAACAAACGACAACAACUAAAUUACAGACUCCUGACUUGGGACAGGCAUAUACAUACAUGAUGUGGCGGGGUUAAACAUGCAUGUAAGCGGGAUCUCACCUCCCCUAAACCCGGAACAGUGGUGUAAUAGUAAAACAUAAGAACGAUCUAAAAAAAUCAGUUGAAAGGGUUAACUCAUCAGAUGGAUACAAAUAGAAAUACAUCUAACAAAAAACCAGAGUGAACGUGGCAGGGUACUUGUAUAUCC
This 519-nucleotide long non-coding RNA is filed under the name Mytilus galloprovincialis (Mediterranean mussel). The record is from RNAcentral. Lineage: Eukaryota; Metazoa; Mollusca; Bivalvia; Mytilida; Mytilidae.